This 429-nucleotide ribosomal RNA is filed under the name uncultured bacterium. Its description in RNAcentral is "bacterial SSU rRNA". It matches the Rfam family "Bacterial small subunit ribosomal RNA", at positions 355 to 776 of the family's 1533-position model. The record is from RNAcentral.
UGGGGAAUAUUGGACAAUGGGCGAAAGCCUGAUCCAGCAAUGCCGCGUGUGCGACGAAGGCCUUCGGGUCGUAAAGCACUUUCAAUGGGGAGGAAAGCUAUGAAAUUAAUACCUUCGUAGUUUGACGUUAUCCAUACAAGAAGCACCGGCUAACUCUGUGCCAGCAGCCGCGGUAAUACAGAGGGUGCAAGCGUUAAUCGGAGUUACUGGGCGUAAAGCGCACGUAGGCGGAUAUAACAGUCAGAUGUGAAAUCCCUGGGCUUAACCUAGGAACUGCAUUUGAUACUAUAUAUCUAGAGUAUGGUAGAGGGAAGUGGAAUUUCCGGUGUAGCGGUGAAAUGCAUAGAUAUCGGAAGGAACAUCAGUGGCGAAGGCGACUUCCUGGACCAAUACUGACGCUGAGGUGCGAAAGCAUGGGGAGCAAACAGG